GCUCUUCAAUAUUAUUAUUGUUAUUAUUAUUACACACACUGUACUUGGCUCGUGGUGGAGGGUAGGAAGUGAGGAUAAGAAGGAAGUGAAACGAGGAUUGAAAAGGAAGUGAGAUGAUCUACUGCUAUUAUUGUACAUUAGAGUGCUGCGUGUAGACUUUUUAAAGCCAAACCAACGGUGUCCUGCAGUUCCUAAUAAAUCAGCUCCGUGCUGGCGUGAGCACCUCUCUACCAUCUGUGUUUCAUGUCUGUCUGGGUAGCAAAUACAACAGUCAGGAUUUUCUCAUAUGGAUGGAUGGAUACAAGAUUCAUCAGUUUCUUACAACAUUUCCACAAGAUUAGUUGUUUCCAGUUGCCUUGAAAGCACCAUACAUCCAAAGAAUAUCAGACUUUGAUGAUAAAGUUUCAUGACAAAAUUUGCCCACAUGAUGGACCACCACGCCACCUUCCUGUUCAAGUGAGCACAGCACAACGGCCACACAAACGCUUCACACCGCGUGGCCGCUGCCACUCUAACCUGGUGGUCCCAGCGC
This 532-nucleotide long non-coding RNA is filed under the name Salmo salar (Atlantic salmon). RNAcentral's name for it is "lncRNA (ENSSSAG00000107507.1)". Lineage: Eukaryota; Metazoa; Chordata; Actinopteri; Salmoniformes; Salmonidae. The record is from RNAcentral.